This is a long non-coding RNA of Uranotaenia lowii, 837 nucleotides long. RefSeq lists it as uncharacterized. The transcript has 4 exons. The record is from RefSeq and is a predicted model, not a curated record. Lineage: Eukaryota; Metazoa; Arthropoda; Insecta; Diptera; Culicidae.
UUCCAAUGAAAAAUGGUUUUAUGAGUAUCUCAAAUACUUAAAUCGUUAAUAAACGUCUUUAAAUUAAGCAGAAGGACAUUAUUCGUUUGUUGCUUCGGGAUCCCAUUUGAAAGGGAACAGGAAAUGUACAGGAAUCACGUUGCGAGGAACACAGGGAGAUAUAAAAAAAAUGUUCCGGCACGAUUUAUACUAAGUGGUGGAGGACAAACAGCAACCGAAACUCAACGGAUCGGAAUACAAAGAAGAAAAACUAGACGUUAACCUACAUGAAGGUUCACUAAUAAUUGCUAAAAGAAGUUAACGUUCCAAAAAUGGUUCAAAGAAAUCAGGAAUAAAAUGAGCCUGAUAGAUCGGAAAAGAUAAAAGCCGGAAGAAUUCUCGUGCAUUGCAAUGAAGCAGGAUGCAAACUACUUGGCUGAGAACCCUCUGUGGAAAGUCUACUUUCGGUGUUCUUCGAAGCGCACCCAAAGGAUAAGGGCAUCGUAUAGUGCGUGGGCUAUCAGAAAUAUAUGCAGAAAUAUAUUCGGUGCUGCGAGACGCCGGCGGCCAACUUUUAAUUGUGGCACCUUAACUACGGAACAUGCCCGGAAUUUGCUGCCGUACUCGCCCAGUACACCAUCUGUAAUCUACAAAAAACAGAUCCAGUGCCAUCUAAAGCAAAAGGAUUGCUCGAGCGGAAGUCUUACUUUCGAGAUAACCAGAAUGUCACUGGAAUGCUUUGGCUGCAAAAUACUAUUCGAUACACCGAUACUAUUUCAUGUAAUAUAUUGUUUAUGUUUGUAAAAUGAUUCUAAAGACAAUAAAAACUGAUAGCUUGUUGUUUAGAAAAUUAUUUAA